AAACCGCGGCGCAGAUCCAAGUCGCCGGACCCGGUGUGGAGAGCGGUGCUGAGGCUACGCGGGCUGGAGACUCAGGAGUCUCACUCUGUCUCCCAGGCUGAGUGCAGUGACACAAUCACAGCUCACUGCAGCCUCCACCUCCUGGGUUCAGGUGAUCUGCCCACCUCAGCCUUCCAAGUAGCUGGGACUACAGACAUGCGCCAGCACGCCUGGGCUUGAGCAAUUCAGUUUCCCUGCCUGAGUGUUGGUGACCUGUGCUGUGAAAUAGAGAGAGACACCUACGACCUGCUGUCAGAGCCCAUCAAGGUUAUCAAUACUCUGGCUGACCAUCAUCAUCGUGGGACUGACUUUGGUGGAAGUCCUUGGUUACGUAUCAUUAUUGCAUUUCCGAGAAGUUAUAAAGUUGUCCUUACCCUCUGGACAGUUUACCUUUGGUUGUCUUUCCUGAAGACUAUCUUCCAGUCUGAAAAUGGACAUGAUGUAUCCACAGAUGUACAGCAGAGAGCCAGGAGGUCCAACCGCCGUAGACAGGAAGGAAAUAAAAUUGGCCUGAAAGACGUCAUUACUCUACGGA
RNAcentral lists this long non-coding RNA (574 nucleotides) under Homo sapiens (human). RNAcentral describes it as "non-protein coding lnc-NPIPB2-2:1". The record is from RNAcentral. Lineage: Eukaryota; Metazoa; Chordata; Mammalia; Primates; Hominidae.